AUGAAUUGAAGGACACUUUUUCACAGCAUCGGACAAAUUAAAAUAUUUACAUUUUCUGUGAAAAAGUGUCAAGGUGGUUGAUAGUAAAAAAAUUCGUAAGGGUUCCGCGGAACCCAGUGUCUCGCCUACUUUUGCUGUUAAUCGCAGGCUCAACAAAAAUGAGGAAAAAAAUUAAUAAAAAUAUUCCUCUCUAUACUAUCUUUUGAUUGUAAGUAGCUUCUGUCCAAGUUUGGUAAAAAUCCAGGAUAGUUUAUGAAUCUAAUAAAUGUUUUAAAAACUUAAAGUGCAGACUGUAUGUAAUGUUAACUGGAAGAAAAACUAAGUCCAUUUAUAAGUAAAAUACGGAAAAAAUGGAAUUUUUUUUUUACUUUUUUACAAAAUUUACUUCUGGAUACUAUCUUUUGAUCAUAAACAAGCUUCUUUCCAAGUUUGGUAGAAAUCCAGGAUAGUUUAAGAAAGUUAUUAAAAUUUCAAAAACUUUAACCACAGAGUGAAUGUAAUGUUUCAUGGCAGAAAAACUAAGUCCGUUUAUAAGUAAAAUACGGAAAAAAUGGAAUUUUUUUUUUACAAAAUUUACUUCUGGAUACUAUCUUUUGAUCAUAAACAAGCUUCUUUCCAAGUUUGAUAGAAAUCCAGGAUAGUUUAAGAACGUUAUUAAAAUUUCAAAAACUUUAACCACAGAGUGAAUGCAAUGUUUCAUGGCAGAAAAACUAAGUCCAUUUAUAAGUAAAAUACGGAAAAAAUGGAAUUUUAUUUUUACUAAAUUUACUUUUGAAUAUUAUCUUAUGAUCAUAAACAAGCUUCUGUCCAAGUCUGGUAGAAAUCCAGGAUAGUUUAAGAAAGUUAUUAAAAUUUCAAAAACUUUAACCACAGAGUGAAUAUUUGUGGACGACGCCGCCGCCGACGGAAUGUAGGAUCGCUAUGUCUCGCUUUUUCGACAAAAGUCGAAGGCUCGACAAAAAGGUAUUGUUACUUAAAUGACUAGUAAUGGAUUGUUGAGACUUGUUAUAUGUCAAAACAUUUUAGAAAAUUGUAAUUAUGGAGAAUAAUAAAGACUUUUUUACAGUGGGCCCCAAAUCCCCAAAUACCUGUGUCAGAUUUAGGUGAAUAGAAAAUAGGGAUUGUAUGCAAGUAAAGCCUAGAUUUUUGUAAAAACAAAACAAAAACAAAGACUUUUAUCUGUUAUAGUUUGAUCUAUUACAGAUUUUCAUUGUAAAAUUUAACUCACUUACAAGUAUUAUGUCCAUGCCAGCAUUUAUUGUUUACAAAGAGUCCUACACAACCUUAAAUCAAAUACAAUCCAAAGUCAAACACACCCAAAGCCAAAGGCAAAGGUGUACUUGAAUAGGUCUAUAUUUGGUAGUCUUGAUUUAAUGAAUAACUUUAUUUCUGAAUUUUAAAUUGGUAUUAUUAAACUGUGUAAGAGAAAUUAUUGCUCUAUCUAAUAAGCAUUGACCAGUUGACAUUAUUGUGGUCAAGCAGAUACCAAAAAAUAUUCGGAAUCCAGAUUUUCCCCAUACUUGUCAGGUAACCAGAGGAUUUCCAAACCGAAGUGGUUCGUCUAAAAAAGGUGGAAUUUUAAUACAGAAUAGGUGACGGGUAACAGUUCUGUGGAUGGAACAAACAUCCUCACCUUCAAACUGGUAAAGUUCAACUUCUACAAGAGUCCUGAGUUGCAGUGCGAUAGAAGAACGUCUGUUAUCCAAAUGCAAUCAGGGAACCAGUUCACGUAAGACAAACUUGUUGUGACCUUGAACAUGAAGAUGCAGAGAUGCUGAAUGAAAACUUGUCAGUACGACAGUAGCCUGUUGUUGAAAUGAUUUCAAUUUAUAUAUAUGAUUGACAUAUCCAUAGGACAUGCAGUUAGCCUAGACAAAUAGAAAGAGAAAGGUCUCUGAUUUAAUUCUCUGUGAAGUUCAAGGUCUUUCUUAGUCUAAAUAUGGGAAGAUUUGAAAGGAUACAUAGAAAUCUUGGAGGACAAAUUGACUUGAGUCUUAAAAGACACAGAUAUGAAGAUAAACAAGAGGAAAAGAAUGCCAAACAUAGUUUAAAGGACUGCAUACUUUCUGAUAUCUUUCAAAUUAUUGUGUCUUUUUGGUAUAAAUGUAAUAAUGCAAUAUCAUCUUAUUUGUAUAGGCAUGUAUACAUCCUGCAAAUCUUGUUGGUACCUUUUAGCUCCUUUUAAUGCAACCACUAUUUAUAAAACAUUGUCCUGAUUGUAUUUCUAUAUGUGAGUUUAUUAGUUAACUAGCGCUUGCCGCGUAGUAAUUGCAUAUAUAUGCAUUAUUAAAUACCAUACCUAUCAUCAAUCUUAGUCUUUUUAAUUAAGAAAUAAUUUUUAAAACAAGUUUUUUUAAUGGAAUUUUAUUUUCUAUGUUUAACCUGUAAUAUGCACUUAGUCAAAUAUAGCAUGUUGCAAAAGAGAUGCAAUAGAGAGCAAACAUUAUAUUUCAUGUUUACAUAAAAACCUUCUAUAUGUAUCAAAAUUCUGUGUUGUAAAAUCUGAAAGAUUUUGUUUUUCAGGAUUUUUCCCAAUAUGUUUAAGAAAUCUGUAGCAUAAUUUUUGCUUGUAGAUUUUAUUUCGGGAUUUUUCCCGAAAUGGGUAAAAAAAAAACUAUGCACCAAGUGUGUGCCUGAUAAUAGAUUUAUAUUUUCGGGAUUUUUCCCGAAAUGUGAAAGAAAUUAUUAGUCAUGAGUUCUAGCAUAUACAUAGAUUUGCGGGAUAAAUCCCC
Molecule: long non-coding RNA, 2732 nt
Organism: Mytilus californianus (California mussel)
Lineage: Eukaryota; Metazoa; Mollusca; Bivalvia; Mytilida; Mytilidae
Exons: 3
Source: RefSeq, a predicted model, not a curated record